This 275-nucleotide ribosomal RNA is filed under the name uncultured bacterium. RNAcentral's name for it is "partial 16S ribosomal RNA". It matches the Rfam family "Bacterial small subunit ribosomal RNA", at positions 523 to 796 of the family's 1533-position model. The record is from RNAcentral.
AUACGUAGGGGGCAAGCGUUGUCCGGAAUUAUUGGGCGUAAAGAGCUCGUAGGCGGUUCGGUAAGUCGGGUGUGAAAAUCCAGGGCUCAACCCUGGGACGCCACCCGAUACUGCUGUGACUAGAGUCCGGUAGAGGAGCGUGGAAUUCCUGGUGUAGCGGUGAAAUGCGCAGAUAUCAGGAGGAACACCAGCGGCGAAGGCGGCGCUCUGGGCCGGUACUGACGCUGAGGAGCGAAAGCGUGGGGAGCAAACAGGAUUAGAUACCCCGGUAGUCC